Molecule: ribosomal RNA, 587 nt
Filed under: uncultured bacterium
Lineage: Bacteria
Description: partial 16S ribosomal RNA
Rfam family: Bacterial small subunit ribosomal RNA
Source: RNAcentral
UGGGGAAUUUUGGACAAUGGGCGAAAGCCUGAUCCAGCAAUGCCGCGUGUGUGAAGAAGGCCUUCGGGUUGUAAAGCACUUUUGUCCGGAAAGAAAUCCUUGGCUCUAAUACAGUCGGGGGAUGACGGUACCGGAAGAAUAAGCACCGGCUAACUACGUGCCAGCAGCCGCGGUAAUACGUAGGGUGCAAGCGUUAAUCGGAAUUACUGGGCGUAAAGCGUGCGCAGGCGGUUUGCUAAGACCGAUGUGAAAUCCCCGGGCUCAACCUGGGAACUGCAUUGGUGACUGGCAGGCUAGAGUAUGGCAGAGGGGGGUAGAAUUCCACGUGUAGCAGUGAAAUGCGUAGAGAUGUGGAGGAAUACCGAUGGCGAAGGCAGCCCCCUGGGCCAAUACUGACGCUCAUGCACGAAAGCGUGGGGAGCAAACAGGAUUAGAUACCCUGGUAGUCCACGCCCUAAAACGAUGUCAACUAGUUGUUGGGGAUUCAUUUCCUUAGUAACGUAGCUAACGCGUGAAGUUGACCGCCUGGGGAGUACGGUCGCAAGAUUAAAAACUUAAAUGAAUUGACGGGGUCAUAGCUGUUUCCU